GGAUGCGAUCAUACCAGCACUAAAGCACCGGAUCCCAUCAGAACUCCGAAGUUAAGCGUGUUUGGGCGAGAGUAGUACUAGGAUGGGUGACCUCCUGGGAAGUCCUCGUGUUGGACUAG
This 119-nucleotide ribosomal RNA is filed under the name Oryza glaberrima (African rice). Lineage: Eukaryota; Viridiplantae; Streptophyta; Magnoliopsida; Poales; Poaceae. The record is from RNAcentral. RNAcentral also lists the same sequence under 1 other name.